This 494-nucleotide ribosomal RNA is filed under the name uncultured bacterium. Its description in RNAcentral is "partial 16S ribosomal RNA". It matches the Rfam family "Bacterial small subunit ribosomal RNA", at positions 29 to 507 of the family's 1533-position model. The record is from RNAcentral.
ACGAACGCUGGCGGCGUGCCUAAUACAUGCAAGUAGAACGCUGAAGGAGGAGCUUGCUUCUCUGGAUGAGUUGCGAACGGGUGAGUAACGCGUAGGUAACCUGCCUGGUAGCGGGGGAUAACUAUUGGAAACGAUAGCUAGUACCGCAUAAUAGUAGAUGUUGCAUGACAUUUGCUUAAAAGGUGCAAUUGCAUCACUACCAGAUGGACCUGCGUUGUAUUAGCUAGUUGGUGAGGUAACGGCUCACCAAGGCAACGAUACAUAGCCGACCUGAGAGGGUGAUCGGCCACACUGGGACUGAGACACGGCCCUGACUCCUACGGGAGGCAGCAGUAGGGAAUCUUCGGCAAUGGACGGAAGUCUGACCGAGCAACGCCGCGUGAGUGAAGAAGGUUUUCGGAUCGUAAAGCUCUGUUGUAAGAGAAGAACGAGUGUGAGAGUGGAAAGUUCACACUGUGACGGUAUCUUACCAGAAAGGGACGGCUAACUACGUG